GUCCCUGUAGCGCAAUGGAUCGCGCGUUGGAAUUCAAAUUCAAAGGUUGUGGGUUCGAAUCCCACCUGGGAUG
Molecule: non-coding RNA, 73 nt
Organism: Trichonephila clavata
Lineage: Eukaryota; Metazoa; Arthropoda; Arachnida; Araneae; Nephilidae
Source: the annotation of a GenBank genome assembly